RNAcentral lists this transfer RNA (73 nucleotides) under Felis catus (domestic cat). It matches the Rfam family "tRNA". Rfam says of the family: Transfer RNA (tRNA) molecules are approximately 80 nucleotides in length. Their secondary structure includes four short double-helical elements and three loops (D, anti-codon, and T loops). Further hydrogen bonds mediate the characteristic L-shaped molecular structure. tRNAs have two regions of fundamental functional importance: the anti-codon, which is responsible for specific mRNA codon recognition, and the 3' end, to which the tRNAs corresponding amino acid is attached (by aminoacyl-tRNA synthetases). tRNAs cope with the degeneracy of the genetic code in two manners: having more than one tRNA (with a specific anti-codon) for a particular amino acid; and 'wobble' base-pairing, i.e. permitting non-standard base-pairing at the 3rd anti-codon position. Lineage: Eukaryota; Metazoa; Chordata; Mammalia; Carnivora; Felidae. RNAcentral also lists the same sequence under 2 other names. The record is from Rfam by way of RNAcentral.
GCCUGGCUGGCUCAGUUGGUGGAGCGUAUGACUCUUGAUCUUGAGGUUGUAAGUUCAAGCCCUACAUUAGGUG